UACACAAGUGUACGGAAAUGUACAAUGUGAUGGCAAGGCAAAAUAUCUGGACAUUGUGUAUACCACCUGGUCAAGAAAUAGUUAUUAGUUUUUUUAUUGUUUGAACACCAUCGUUCAAUUAAUAUGUGCCCAUGAUAAUAAGAUGGGGUUUCUAAGGAUUAACUCUGUCAAAUUUGACUUCUGUAGGUAGAACAUAUAGCAGUAUAACUGUUGCAUCGGUACAAGACAUCUAUCAAUAUCUGAUUCCAUUUCAUUGUGUAAUUUAGCUGAAAACUAACGACACCAUGCUUUCACCGAGCAGACCGGAAUAGCGGUGGCAUAAAAGCUCAUGCGAGGAGAAAAACAUGACCAGGAUAUUUGCAUAGCCCGCCCCAAGCCUGUCACAUGCAGCAAGAUUGUUAUGCAAAUUCAAAAUGGUAUUUAGUUCAUUGUUUCAGGCCUGAAGCGAACCUGCAGUAUGUAUAAUGCUUAUCCUCCCAAUG
RNAcentral lists this long non-coding RNA (482 nucleotides) under Triticum aestivum (bread wheat). RNAcentral's name for it is "long non-coding RNA (TAES_LNC014826)". The record is from RNAcentral. Lineage: Eukaryota; Viridiplantae; Streptophyta; Magnoliopsida; Poales; Poaceae.